UGCCUCAGUAACGGCGAGUGAAGCGGCAACAGCUCAGAUUUGAUAUCUGGCCCCGUAGCUGGGGUCCGAGUUGUAAUCUGCAGAGGAUGCCUCGGGGGAGGCGCCGACCCAAGUUCCUUGGAACAGGACGUCGUGGAGGGUGAGAAUCCCGUUCGCGGACGGCGUGCAAACCUACCCCCGGGUGAGGCUCCUUCGACGAGUCGAGUUGUUUGGGAAUGCAGCUCUAAACGGGAGGUAAAUUUCUUCUAAAGCUAAAUAUUGGCCGGAGACCGAUAGCGCACAAGUAGAGUGAUCGAAAGAUGAAAAGCACUUUGGAAAGAGAGUCAAACAGCACGUGAAAUUGUUGAAAGGGAAGCGCUUGCGACCAGACCUGCCCGAGGUUGCUCAGCCCGCCGUCAGGCGGGUGCACUCCUCCGCGGGCAGGCCAGCGUCGGCUGGGGCGGUCGCCCAAAGGUUCGGGGAACGUGGCUCCCCCCAUUCGGGGGGAGUGUUAUAGCCCCGGACGGAAUGCGACCAGCACCGGCCGAGGUCCGCGCCUUUCGUGCCAGGACGCUGGCGUAAUGGUCGUAAGCGGCCCGUCUUGAAACACGGACCAAGGAGUCUAACAUCCACGCGAGCGUUCGGGUGAUCAGAAACCCUCGCGCGCAAUGAAAGUGAACGGAGGUGGGAGCCCUCCCCGUAACGAGGGGGGGUGCACCAUCGACCGAUCCUGAUGUCUUCGGAUGGAUUUGAGUAUGAGCGUGGCUGUUGGGACCCGAAAGAUGGUGAACUUUGCAUGGAUAGGGUGAAGCCAGAGGAAACUCUGGUGGAGGCUCGCAGCGGUUCUGACGUGCAAAUCGAUCGUCAAAUCAGUGCAAAGGGGCGAAAGACUAAUCGAACCGUCUAGUAGCUGGUUCCUGCCGAAGUUUCCCUCAGGAUAGCAGUAACGAACCCAGUUUUAUGAGGUAGAGCGAAUGAUUAGAGGUCUUGGGGCUAAAAUAGCCUUAACCUAUUCUCAAACUUCGAAUAUGUAAGAAGUCCUUGUUGCUUCGUUGAACGUGGACGCUCGAAUGUACCGUUACUAGUGGGCCAUUUUUGGUAAGCAGAACUGGCGAUGCGGGAUGAACCGAACGCGAGGUUAAGGUGCCGGAAUGCACGCUCAUCAGACACCACAAAAGGUGUUAGUUCAUCCAGACAGCAGGACGGUGGCCAUGGAAGUCGGAACCCGCUAAGGAGUGUGUAACAACUCACCUGCCGAAUGAACUAGCCCUGAAAAUGGAUGGCGCUCAAGCGUGCUACCCAUACCUCGCCGCCGGGGCAGGAUCGAUGCCCCGGCGAGUAGGCAGGCGCGGCGGUCGGUGACGAA
This 1345-nucleotide ribosomal RNA is filed under the name Collemopsidium sp. C IGB-2016. RNAcentral's name for it is "LSU rRNA". It matches the Rfam family "Eukaryotic large subunit ribosomal RNA", at positions 76 to 1407 of the family's 3401-position model. Lineage: Eukaryota; Fungi; Ascomycota; Collemopsidiomycetes; Collemopsidiales; Xanthopyreniaceae. The record is from RNAcentral.